Molecule: long non-coding RNA, 3468 nt
Organism: Homo sapiens (human)
Lineage: Eukaryota; Metazoa; Chordata; Mammalia; Primates; Hominidae
Source: Ensembl
AGGGGCGGGAAGGUUAGAAGGAGCCAGGGCUAGAGUCCUGGAAGGUGGCAGUCAGGUCGCAGGGCCACAGCAGUCACUCUGCGACUCUCUCUUCCGGUGUUUCUCCAGCGCCAAGCGGGAGAAGACGGAGCCUGGGAGCUGGGACUGGAGGAGCGGGAAGCGCAGUAUCGGGACCACGGCUCUGGGACCAGGAAAAACGCAGACUCUCCAGAGUCAAUGUCUACUUCAGCCAGCUCAAGGGCGCGACAACCUGGCGCCGAGCAUCUCAGGCCGCCGCGGGGACCCCCCCUAAGGGACUCGGGAACACCUGCCUACCCUAGAAGAGGCGGAGAAUAACCCCGUAGGGAGUUAAGCGGCCUCUGCCUACAGCGUUCCUCCCGCCUCCACGGCGCCGAGCCCUGAUUGACGUUCAGCCAGGCCAAUCAUAGCCUGUGUCUGAGGCGCGCGGAGCUGGAGCGCCCAGGGCAUGUCCGCCGAUCCCAAGGAGGCAAUCUGUCAGGCGCCGCCCGGGCGGCAGUAUGCCUGAGGGGGUCCUCCGUGUUCGCGCCUCCCGCCGCCUGCACUGAAAGGUCUGUACCUGAGCCUGGAUACUUGAACAGAGGCAGACACUGCGGCUCAAAACCCCAAGGAAUAUCCUAGCUCUGAGACAAAAAUUGGGAACCUCAGCAUGAGUUUGUCACCUGAAUGAAAUAAAAAAAAUCACGUUGAAGGCUGGUGCAGUAACAUGUGCCUGUAGUCCCAGCUACUCUGGAGGCUGAGUCAGGAGGAUCACUUGAGACCAGAAGUUCAGGAAUUCAAGACUGGCUUGAGCAACAUAGCAAGACUUCAUUUCAAAACAAACAGAAAAAAGCCACCACCUUCAGUAUUUCUUGCCAAAGCAAAGGAGCCAUUUGUUCUUUACGAUGGUCAGGAAAGGAAGCAUCAAGGUCAUCAAAUGAAAAAUUUUCAGCAUUUCAGCCUCUCUGCUCAGGGAAAUAUCUGAAUCUAGAAUAUCACAACAUGAGCCAAAACCGCCCCAUUUCUCAUGCCACAUGUCACUCUUAACACAAGGUUACUCAACCUCGAGCAUGGUUGGCAUUUGGGGCUGAAUAAUUCUUUUUUGUAGGGGGCUGUCCUGGGCAUUGUAGGAUGCUCAUGAGCUACCUCAGUCUCUACCACCCACUAGAUGCCAGUAGCAUUGACCCCUGAUCUCUCUACCCAAGUUGUGACAACUAAAACCAUCUCUGGAUAAUGGAGGAACCUUAAAUGCAUAUUGCUAAGGAAAAGCCAAUCUGAAAGGAUUACAUAUUGUAUGAGUCCAACUAUAUGGUAAUCUGGAAAAGGCAAAACCAUGGAGACAGUGAAAAGGUAGUGGUUACCAGUGGUCCAUGGGAAGGGUUGGAUGAAUAGGUGGAGCACAGAGGAUUUUUAAGGCAGUGAAACUAUUCUGAAUGAUACUGUAAUGGUGGAUACAUGUCAUACCUUUGUCAAAACCAAUAAAAUAUAACAACCAAUAAAACUGCACAAAGAGUGAACCCUAAUGUAAACUAUGGACUUAAUAAUGUAUCAAUAUUGGCUCACCAAUUUUAACAAAUGUACCACACUAAUGCAAGAUGUUACUAAUAGUGGAAACUGGAGGGAAGAGGGCUUGAGGGGACAUACGGGAACUCUCUGUAAUUCCUGUUCAGUUUUUCUGUAACUGUUAAACUGUCCAAAAAAAGUCUGUUUUUAUAAAUGGAGGCAUGGUUUUAUAUGGACUAAAAUACUAUGAUUGCCUUUUUAUUUUACACAUGGUGAAAUUAGAGCAGGACAUAUUUUAAACUCAAAAUUCACAAAAUUAAUUUAUGAAAAUGUUUACCCAGAUCAAGAAUAUUAAAGAAACUUAGAUUAAUAUUGUUACCUUGAAUUUAUUUUACUGAGUAAUCCUCUAAGACUCCUCUACACAUUAUUAAUCUAGAAGGAUUUUUAAAGUCUUUAUGACAAUUAAUUAUUGGUCUACAGUCAAAUUGCGUAUCCCCAUUAACUAGAGUUAUAUUUUUCCAUUUUCUGAUCCAAAAACUUUAGGAACAGGAAAUGUUUAUUUUAGAAAACAAGAACACUUCUUAAGCAUUUGCUGUUAACAGUUAUUUUCACAUGUGCUUGUACUUAUUUUACACUUGUCAGAACAUAGUAUUUACCUUUGAACCAAGGUUUUAUAAUAAGCAAGCACUUUUUUUAUUUAGAAGUCACAUUUUCCAAGUAGAAAAAUCAUUAAAAAUUCAGUCCUCUGAAGGCUAAUUUCUUUAAAUCAUUUAACCUAAUUGUUUAAGGUAUAGAUUGGAAUUUUUCUCAGCACUCUCUUGAAAACAGGUGACAGUGGAACCCUGUUAGGUUCACAAAUCCUAGACUUUGAUUAUAUAGCCCAGGCUCAAAUUUUUCUCGAAUGUUACGAACAUUCAAAGCAUUAGGAGUCUUGGUUUCAUUUCUUAAUUUUUUUUCUUCUGGGUAUAUUUGAGACUCAUCUUGGAUUCAAAUAAAUUAAUAAUAGUCUCAUGAAACCGAUAAAAAUGGGAGCUCCAUUGAACAUGAGAGACAUUGAUUCGUAGUUUCUAACAUCCUCCAAAUGAGGAGCCCAUCCCUAAUUUAGAUGCUUCUUUCAAAGGAGGCUCCUUUCCUUCGUUAUCCAUAAUAUAGUCACACCAGUCCUGAAAAAACAUGGAACAGACUCCAGAUCUUUAUAUUUCAUACUCUAAAGUCGUACAAGCCAAUCUGCAUUUCCUCUAGUGGAAACUGUAUAGCUGGUCAUCUUUCCAGGACCCUUUUAUCAAGAAACAAUGCAGCUUCUACAUUUGUGCUGCUUCUACACCAAAACAGCUGGAAUGUAUAUAGUAUGGUUCUGGAUGCUCUUGUAUACCUCACUCUUCAUUUCUCACCUAACCCAUGUGCUAUGAUUUGAAUGUUUCUCCCCUGCAAAACUCAUGUUGAAAUGUAAUUGCCAUGAUAACAGUAUUAAUAGGUGGAAUAUUUAAGAGGUGAUUAGGGUGGGAUUGGUGAUGUUAUAAAAGGGUAAGUUCAGCCCCUUCUUGCUCUCUCUGUCACCCUUCCACCUUCCUCUGUGUGAUGAUGCAACAAAAAAGCCCUUCCCAGAUGCCAGCAUCUUGAUUUUGGACUUCUCAGCCUACAGAACUAUAAGCCAAUAAAUUUCUGUUAUUUGUUAUUAGUCUGUGAUAUUCUGUUACAGUAGCACAAAAUGGACUAUGACACCAUGUGUUUACACAGAAAGAAAAAAAUAUCAUACGGUAAUUGCUCCUAAAUAUGCAGAGAAUAUGUUCUGAUAUCCUUAGUGGAUGCCUGAAACUGCAGAUAGUACCAAACCUUAUAUAUACUAUGUUUUUUUUCCCAUACAUAUGCAUGUUAAAGUUUAUAAGUUAGGCAGAGUAAGAUAUGAACAAUAACUAAUAAUGAAAUAGAAACGUAACGAUGUGCUGUAAUAAAAGUUAUGUGACUGAC